Molecule: long non-coding RNA, 335 nt
Filed under: Ananas comosus (pineapple)
Lineage: Eukaryota; Viridiplantae; Streptophyta; Magnoliopsida; Poales; Bromeliaceae
Description: long non-coding RNA (ACOM_LNC008715)
Source: RNAcentral
UUGUUAUGAGGUAAAAAGUGGUAAUUUAUUACUAAGUCCAGCUAUUAUGCUACCAAUAACACUAAAUACUUAGUUCUACCAAAUUUUUUGCCGUUAGAUCCGCUUCUUUGACUAUUUCCAUCCGUUGGAUCAUAUAUAUAUUCAACUAACCACCUAUUCCACCUUGAGGGACCAUUAUCAUCAUAACUGUACAUUCCUUAAUUUAAGGGCGGAAAACAUAAUAGCACAAAUGGCUUGGUGCUAUAAAUAGUAUAGUAGCCUAGUUCAAUAUUACUUAUAUAAACUUUCAUCUCUUAUUAAUUAUAUUUGGUAUGUCCAAUGAACUUUUUAAAAAA